GUUGGGGUAGUAAAAGGUAAUACGUCGGAUUUAAAAUCCGGAGGUGGGGUUUUAACCCUCUUCAACA
This 67-nucleotide transfer RNA is filed under the name Kuphus polythalamius. Its description in RNAcentral is "tRNA-Leu". It matches the Rfam family "tRNA". From Rfam's summary of the family: Transfer RNA (tRNA) molecules are approximately 80 nucleotides in length. The record is from RNAcentral. Lineage: Eukaryota; Metazoa; Mollusca; Bivalvia; Myida; Teredinidae.